GGACACAGGAACAUAGCCUAACCCCGCCGUUGGUUGAGUGGGGCGUAAGGGAGCGAAAAUUAGUAGCGAAGUAGGUGAUUGUACACUGGCGAGAAAAGCUGUAUGUAUUGAUAAGGUGCCCGUACCGCAAACCGACACAGGUAGAUGAGGAGAGAAUCCUAAGACCAGCGGGAGAAGUGUUGUUAAGGAACUCGGCAAAUGACCCCGUAACUUCGGGAUAAGGGGAGCCUACGCGAGUAGGCCGCAGAGAAUAGUCUCAAGCGACUGUUUAGCAAAAACACAGGUCUAUGCUAAAUCGAAAGAUGAUGUAUAUGGGCUGACGCCUGCCCGGUGCUGGAAGGUUAAGGGGAAGUGUUAGAGCAAUCGAAGCACUGAACUUAAGCCCCAGUAAACGGCGGCCGUAACAAUAACGGUCCUAAGGUAGCGAAAUUCCUUGUCAGGUAAGUUCUGACCCGCACGAAUGGCGUAACGACUUGAGAGCUGUCUCAACAACAUACCCGGCGAAAUUGAAGUACUGGUAAAGACGCCAGUUACCCGUGAUAAGACGGAAAGACCCCAUGGAGCUUUACUGUAACUUGAUAUUGAAUUUUUGUAUUACAUGUACAGGAUAGGUGGGAGACAGAGAACUAAUGCCGCCAGGUGUUAGGGAGUCGAUGUUGGGAUACCACUCUUGUAAUAUGAAGGUUCUAACCUGCACCCGUGAAUCCGGGUGGGGGACACUGUCAGGUGGACAGUUUGACUGGGGCGGUCGCCUCCUAAAAGGUAACGGAGGCGUUCAAAGGUUGGUUCAGCACGGACGGAAAUCGUGCAACGAGUGCAAACGCAUAAACCAGCCUAACUGCGAGACCGACAAGUCGAGCAGUAACGAAAGUUGGAGUUAGUGAUCCGGCGGUAUGAGAGUGGAAUUGCCGUCGCUCAACGGAUAAAAGCUACCCUGGGGAUAACAGGCUGAUCUCCCCCAAGAGUCCACAUCGACGGGGAGGUUUGGCACCUCGAUGUCGGCUCAUCGCAUCCUGGAGCUGUAGUCGGUUCCAAGGGUUGGGCUGUUCGCCCAUUAAAGCGGUACGCGAGCUGGGUUCAGAACGUCGCGAGACAGUUCGGUCCCUAUCUAUCACGGGCGUAGGAAAUUUGAGGAGAGCUGACCUUAGUACGAGAGGACCGGGUUGGACGUACCGCUGGUGCACCUGUUGUUCUGCCAAGGGCAUAGCAGGGUAGCUAAGUACGGACGGGAUAAACGCUGAAGGCAUCUAAGCGUGAAGCCCCCUUCGAGAUAAGAUUUCCCAUAGCGUAGGCUAGUAAGGACCCAUGAAGACUACAUGGUUGAUAGGCCGGAGGUGGAAGUGCAGUAAUGUAUGUAGCUGACCGGUACUAAUAGUCCGAGGGCUUGAUC
Molecule: ribosomal RNA, 1390 nt
Filed under: metagenome
Description: bacterial LSU rRNA
Rfam family: Bacterial large subunit ribosomal RNA
Source: RNAcentral